RNAcentral lists this ribosomal RNA (1374 nucleotides) under Salmonella enterica. RNAcentral describes it as "partial 23S ribosomal RNA". It matches the Rfam family "Bacterial large subunit ribosomal RNA", at positions 1578 to 2925 of the family's 2925-position model. Lineage: Bacteria; Pseudomonadati; Pseudomonadota; Gammaproteobacteria; Enterobacterales; Enterobacteriaceae. The record is from RNAcentral.
UACGGUGCUGAAGCAACAAAUGCCCUGCUUCCAGGAAAAGCCUCUAAGCAUCAGGUAACAUCAAAUCGUACCCCAAACCGACACAGGUGGUCAGGUAGAGAAUACCAAGGCGCUUGAGAGAACUCGGGUGAAGGAACUAGGCAAAAUGGUGCCGUAACUUCGGGAGAAGGCACGCUGACACGUAGGUGAAGUGAUUUACUCACGGAGCUGAAGUCAGUCGAAGAUACCAGCUGGCUGCAACUGUUUAUUAAAAACACAGCACUGUGCAAACACGAAAGUGGACGUAUACGGUGUGACGCCUGCCCGGUGCCGGAAGGUUAAUUGAUGGGGUCAGCGCAAGCGAAGCUCCUGAUCGAAGCCCCGGUAAACGGCGGCCGUAACUAUAACGGUCCUAAGGUAGCGAAAUUCCUUGUCGGGUAAGUUCCGACCUGCACGAAUGGCGUAAUGAUGGCCAGGCUGUCUCCACCCGAGACUCAGUGAAAUUGAACUCGCUGUGAAGAUGCAGUGUACCCGCGGCAAGACGGAAAGACCCCGUGAACCUUUACUAUAGCUUGACACUGAACAUUGAGCCUUGAUGUGUAGGAUAGGUGGGAGGCUUUGAAGUGUGGACGCCAGUCUGCAUGGAGCCGACCUUGAAAUACCACCCUUUAAUGUUUGAUGUUCUAACGUGGACCCGUAAUCCGGGUUGCGGACAGUGUCUGGUGGGUAGUUUGACUGGGGCGGUCUCCUCCUAAAGAGUAACGGAGGAGCACGAAGGUUGGCUAAUCCUGGUCGGACAUCAGGAGGUUAGUGCAAUGGCAUAAGCCAGCUUGACUGCGAGCGUGACGGCGCGAGCAGGUGCGAAAGCAGGUCAUAGUGAUCCGGUGGUUCUGAAUGGAAGGGCCAUCGCUCAACGGAUAAAAGGUACUCCGGGGAUAACAGGCUGAUACCGCCCAAGAGUUCAUAUCGACGGCGGUGUUUGGCACCUCGAUGUCGGCUCAUCACAUCCUGGGGCUGAAGUAGGUCCCAAGGGUAUGGCUGUUCGCCAUUUAAAGUGGUACGCGAGCUGGGUUUAGAACGUCGUGAGACAGUUCGGUCCCUAUCUGCCGUGGGCGCUGGAGAACUGAGGGGGGCUGCUCCUAGUACGAGAGGACCGGAGUGGACGCAUCACUGGUGUUCGGGUUGUCAUGCCAAUGGCACUGCCCGGUAGCUAAAUGCGGAAGAGAUAAGUGCUGAAAGCAUCUAAGCACGAAACUUGCCCCGAGAUGAGUUCUCCCUGAGACUUAGAGUCUCCUGAAGGAACGUUGAAGACGACGACGUUGAUAGGCCGGGUGUGUAAGCGCAGCGAUGCGUUGAGCUAACCGGUACUAAUGAACCGUGAGGCUUAACCUUACA